This 190-nucleotide ribosomal RNA is filed under the name uncultured Prevotella sp. Its description in RNAcentral is "partial 16S ribosomal RNA". It matches the Rfam family "Bacterial small subunit ribosomal RNA", at positions 338 to 525 of the family's 1533-position model. Lineage: Bacteria; Pseudomonadati; Bacteroidota; Bacteroidia; Bacteroidales; Prevotellaceae. The record is from RNAcentral.
CCUACGGGAGGCAGCAGUGAGGAAUAUUGGUCAAUGGGCGAGAGCCUGAACCAGCCAAGUAGCGUGCAGGAUGACGGCCCUAUGGGUUGUAAACUGCUUUUAUAAGGGAAUAAAGUGAGCCUCGUGAGGCUUUUUGCAUGUACCUUAUGAAUAAGGACCGGCUAAUUCCGUGCCAGCAGCCGCGGUAAUA